Molecule: ribosomal RNA, 1490 nt
Filed under: Salmonella enterica
Lineage: Bacteria; Pseudomonadati; Pseudomonadota; Gammaproteobacteria; Enterobacterales; Enterobacteriaceae
Also listed under: 1 other name
Description: partial 16S ribosomal RNA
Rfam family: Bacterial small subunit ribosomal RNA
Source: RNAcentral
GCAGGCCUAACACAUGCAAGUCGAACGGUAACAGGAAGCAGCUUGCUGCUUUGCUGACGAGUGGCGGACGGGUGAGUAAUGUCUGGGAAACUGCCUGAUGGAGGGGGAUAACUACUGGAAACGGUGGCUAAUACCGCAUAACGUCGCAAGACCAAAGAGGGGGACCUUCGGGCCUCUUGCCAUCAGAUGUGCCCAGAUGGGAUUAGCUUGUUGGUGAGGUAACGGCUCACCAAGGCGACGAUCCCUAGCUGGUCUGAGAGGAUGACCAGCCACACUGGAACUGAGACACGGUCCAGACUCCUACGGGAGGCAGCAGUGGGGAAUAUUGCACAAUGGGCGCAAGCCUGAUGCAGCCAUGCCGCGUGUAUGAAGAAGGCCUUCGGGUUGUAAAGUACUUUCAGCGGGGAGGAAGGUGUUGUGGUUAAUAACCGCAGCAAUUGACGUUACCCGCAGAAGAAGCACCGGCUAACUCCGUGCCAGCAGCCGCGGUAAUACGGAGGGUGCAAGCGUUAAUCGGAAUUACUGGGCGUAAAGCGCACGCAGGCGGUCUGUCAAGUCGGAUGUGAAAUCCCCGGGCUCAACCUGGGAACUGCAUUCGAAACUGGCAGGCUUGAGUCUUGUAGAGGGGGGUAGAAUUCCAGGUGUAGCGGUGAAAUGCGUAGAGAUCUGGAGGAAUACCGGUGGCGAAGGCGGCCCCCUGGACAAAGACUGACGCUCAGGUGCGAAAGCGUGGGGAGCAAACAGGAUUAGAUACCCUGGUAGUCCACGCCGUAAACGAUGUCUACUUGGAGGUUGUGCCCUUGAGGCGUGGCUUCCGGAGCUAACGCGUUAAGUAGACCGCCUGGGGAGUACGGCCGCAAGGUUAAAACUCAAAUGAAUUGACGGGGGCCCGCACAAGCGGUGGAGCAUGUGGUUUAAUUCGAUGCAACGCGAAGAACCUUACCUGGUCUUGACAUCCACAGAAGAAUCCAGAGAUGGAUUUGUGCCUUCGGGAACUGUGAGACAGGUGCUGCAUGGCUGUCGUCAGCUCGUGUUGUGAAAUGUUGGGUUAAGUCCCGCAACGAGCGCAACCCUUAUCCUUUGUUGCCAGCGGUUAGGCCGGGAACUCAAAGGAGACUGCCAGUGAUAAACUGGAGGAAGGUGGGGAUGACGUCAAGUCAUCAUGGCCCUUACGACCAGGGCUACACACGUGCUACAAUGGCGCAUACAAAGAGAAGCGACCUCGCGAGAGCAAGCGGACCUCAUAAAGUGCGUCGUAGUCCGGAUUGGAGUCUGCAACUCGACUCCAUGAAGUCGGAAUCGCUAGUAAUCGUGGAUCAGAAUGCCACGGUGAAUACGUUCCCGGGCCUUGUACACACCGCCCGUCACACCAUGGGAGUGGGUUGCAAAAGAAGUAGGUAGCUUAACCUUCGGGAGGGCGCUUACCACUUUGUGAUUCAUGACUGGGGUGAAGUCGUAACAAGGUAACCGUAGGGGAACCUGCGGUUGGA